This 253-nucleotide ribosomal RNA is filed under the name uncultured bacterium. RNAcentral's name for it is "partial 16S ribosomal RNA". It matches the Rfam family "Bacterial small subunit ribosomal RNA", at positions 524 to 776 of the family's 1533-position model. The record is from RNAcentral.
UACGUAGGGUGCAAGCGUUAAUCGGAAUUACUGGGCGUAAAGCGUGCGUAGGUGGUUCGUUAAGUCUGAUGUGAAAGCCCUGGGCUCAACCUGGGAAUGGCAUUGGAUACUGGCGAUCUAGAGUGCGGUAGAGGGCAGUGGAAUUCCCGGUGUAGCAGUGAAAUGCGUAGAGAUCGGGAGGAACAUCUGUGGCGAAGGCGACUGCCUGGACCAGCACUGACACUGAGGCACGAAAGCGUGGGGAGCAAACAGG